UGAACGCUAGCGACAGGCCUAACACAUGCAAGUCAGGGGCAGCACAAGGAGCAAUCUGAGGUGGCGACCGGCGCACGGGUGAGUAACACGUAUGCAACCUGCCUGUAAGCGGGGAAUAACCCGUUGAAAGACGGACUAAUACCGCAUAAUACUAAAUUACUGCAUGGUAAUUUAUUUAAACAUUUAUGGCUUACAGAUGGGCAUGCGCAUGAUUAGCUAGUUGGAGAGGUAACGGCUCCCCAAGGCAACGAUCAUUAGGGGUUCUGAGAGGAAGGUCCCCCACACUGGUACUGAGACACGGACCAGACUCCUACGGGAGGCAGCAGUGAGGAAUAUUGGUCAAUGGACGAGAGUCUGAACCAGCCAAGUCGCGUGCAGGAAGAAUGUCCUUAAUGGAUUGUAAACUGCUUUUGCAGGGGAAUAAAGUGCAUCACGUGUGAUGUUUUGUAUGUACUCUGCGAAUAAGGAUCGGCUAACUCCGUGCCAGCCGCAGC
This 494-nucleotide ribosomal RNA is filed under the name uncultured bacterium. RNAcentral describes it as "bacterial SSU rRNA". It matches the Rfam family "Bacterial small subunit ribosomal RNA", at positions 30 to 518 of the family's 1533-position model. The record is from RNAcentral.